This 442-nucleotide ribosomal RNA is filed under the name uncultured bacterium. Its description in RNAcentral is "bacterial SSU rRNA". It matches the Rfam family "Bacterial small subunit ribosomal RNA", at positions 958 to 1392 of the family's 1533-position model. The record is from RNAcentral.
AACGCGAAGAACCUUACCUGGCCUUGACAUGCUGAGAACUUUCCAGAGAUGGAUUGGUGCCUUCGGGAACUCAGACACAGGUGCUGCAUGGCUGUCGUCAGCUCGUGUCGUGAGAUGUUGGGUUAAGUCCCGCAACGAGCGCAACCCUUGUCCCGUGUUGCCAGCAGGCCCUUGUGGUGCUGGGGACUCACGGGAGACCGCCGGGGUCAACUCGGAGGAAGGUGGGGACGACGUCAAGUCAUCAUGCCCCUUAUGUCUUGGGCUGCACACGUGCUACAAUGGCCGGUACAAUGAGCUGCGAUACCGCGAGGUGGAGCGAAUCUCAAAAAGCCGGUCUCAGUUCGGAUUGGGGUCUGCAACUCGACCCCAUGAAGUUGGAGUCGCUAGUAAUCGCAGAUCAGCAACGCUGCGGUGAAUACGUUCCCGGGCCUUGUACACACCG